Molecule: unclassified non-coding RNA, 206 nt
Filed under: soil metagenome
Description: partial contains 5.8S ribosomal RNA, internal transcribed spacer 2, and large subunit ribosomal RNA
Source: RNAcentral
AACCUAGCACACCUGCGGUGUGUACCUGCGGAAGGAUCAUUACAGAGAUUGAUGCACCAAGUGCAUCACCUCCAACCCCUUGCGAAAACAACUAUCAUGUGUUGCUUUGGCAGUGUUUCCACUGCCAGAGGUUUACAUAAAAUCAGCUGUUUGGAUGUUGUCUGAGUAAACUAUAUGAAUUAUUUAAAACUUUCAACAACGGAUCU